CCAGAUUUUUCACCAAAAACACAUGCAAGUUCCUAACUAAAGUGAGAAUAGGGUUACCCGGCUUCUACGCUACCGGAGAAGAACAGCCUUCAAAUGUGCAGGGAAAACCCUAACUCCAUUCAGUGUAAAUCCGACGCUUGUGAAUCCGUCGGAAUCAAAUACGAAAGGUGUCAGAAGUCUACACGAAACACCGAGCUUGAGAAACUAUCAACAAGCGAGACUGAAAGGAAAGUCUUAUUCACAGUUAGCUGAAAGCGCACAAAAUACCAAAUCAUCGUUGAUACCUCAACAGUGCUGGACCGGAAAGACAAAGAACCGGAAAAAACAAGCUCUCAUACCAUGAGAACAUGGACCAUCGAAGAUGGAGAGAAAGAGGGAUUUUCCUUUUCGCUUAUUCAGAGAACUCUCUAGAGAGCCAAAUGAG
Molecule: long non-coding RNA, 424 nt
Filed under: Nicotiana benthamiana
Lineage: Eukaryota; Viridiplantae; Streptophyta; Magnoliopsida; Solanales; Solanaceae
Description: long non-coding RNA (NBEN_LNC038394)
Source: RNAcentral